RNAcentral lists this ribosomal RNA (463 nucleotides) under uncultured bacterium. RNAcentral's name for it is "partial 16S ribosomal RNA". It matches the Rfam family "Bacterial small subunit ribosomal RNA", at positions 28 to 507 of the family's 1533-position model. The record is from RNAcentral.
GAUGAACGCUGACAGAAUGCUUAACACAUGCAAGUCUUUGGCGAAUCUGUGCUUGCACAGGCUAGCCAAGGCGGACGGGUGAGUAACGCGUAAAGAACUUGCCCUGCAGACAGGGAUAACAGACGGAAACGACUGAUAACACCUGAUACAGUUGCCGGCACGCAUGUGCCUGGCAAUGAAAAGAGAUGCUGCAGGAGAGCUUUGCGUCCUAUUAGCUUGUUGGUGAGGUGACGGCUCACCAAGGCGAUGAUAGGUAGCCGGCCUGAGAGGGUGAACGGCCACGAGGGGACUGAGAUACGGCCCUUACUCCUACGGGAGGCAGCAGUGGGGAAUAUUGGACAAUGGGGGCAACCCUGAUCCAGCAAUUCUGUGUGCACGAAGAAGGUUUUCGGAUUGUAAAGUGCUUUCAGCAGGGAAGAAGAAAGUGACGGUACCUGCAGAAGAAGCGACGGCUAAAUACGUG